GACGAACGCUGGCGGCGUGCCUAAUACAUGCAAGUAGAACGCUGAAGAGAGGAGCUUGCUCUUCUUGGAUGAGUUGCGAACGGGUGAGUAACGCGUAGGUAACCUGCCUUGUAGCGGGGGAUAACUAUUGGAAACGAUAGCUAAUACCGCAUAACAAUGGAUGACACAUGUCAUUUAUUUGAAAGGGGCAAUUGCUCCACUACAAGAUGGACCUGCGUUGUAUUAGCUAGUAGGUGAGGUAACGGCUCACCUAGGCGACGAUACAUAGCCGACCUGAGAGGGUGAUCGGCCACACUGGGACUGAGACACGGCCCAGACUCCUACGGGAGGCAGCAGUAGGGAAUCUUCGGCAAUGGGGGCAACCCUGACCGAGCAACGCCGCGUGAGUGAAGAAGGUUUUCGGAUCGUAAAGCUCUGUUGUAAGUCAAGAACGAGUGUGAGAGUGGAAAGUUCACACUGUGACGGUAGCUUACCAGAAAGGGACGGCUAACUACGUGCCAGCAGCCGCGGUAAUACGUAGGUCCCGAGCGUUGUCCGGAUUUAUUGGGCGUAAAGCGAGCGCAGGCGGUUUGAUAAGUCUGAAGUUAAAGGCUGUGGCUCAACCAUAGUUCGCUUUGGAAACUGUCAAACUUGAGUGCAGAAGGGGAGAGUGGAAUUCCAUGUGUAGCGGUGGAAUGCGUAGAUAUAUGGAGGAACACCGGUGGCGAAAGCGGCUCUCUGGUCUGUAACUGACGCUGAGGCUCGAAAGCGUGGGGAGCGAACAGGAUUAGAUACCCUGGUAGUCCACGCCGUAAACGAUGAGUGCUAGGUGUUGGAUCCUUUCCGGGAUUCAGUGCCGCAGCUAACGCAUUAAGCACUCCGCCUGGGGAGUACGACCGCAAGGUUGAAACUCAAAGGAAUUGACGGGGGCCCGCACAAGCGGUGGAGCAUGUGGUUUAAUUCGAAGCAACGCGAAGAACCUUACCAGGUCUUGACAUCCCGAUGCUAUUUCUAGAGAUAGAAAGUUACUUCGGUACAUCGGUGACAGGUGGUGCAUGGUUGUCGUCAGCUCGUGUCGUGAGAUGUUGGGUUAAGUCCCGCAACGAGCGCAACCCCUAUUGUUAGUUGCCAUCAUUCAGUUGGGCACUCUAGCGAGACUGCCGGUAAUAAACCGGAGGAAGGUGGGGAUGACGUCAAAUCAUCAUGCCCCUUAUGACCUGGGCUACACACGUGCUACAAUGGUUGGUACAACGAGUUGCGAGUCGGUGACGGCAAGCUAAUCUCUCAAAGCCAAUCUCAGUUCGGAUUGUAGGCUGCAACUCGCCUACAUGAAGUCGGAAUCGCUAGUAAUCGCGGAUCAGCACGCCACGGUGAAUACGUUCCCGGGCCU
Molecule: ribosomal RNA, 1369 nt
Filed under: uncultured bacterium
Lineage: Bacteria
Description: bacterial SSU rRNA
Rfam family: Bacterial small subunit ribosomal RNA
Source: RNAcentral